RNAcentral lists this ribosomal RNA (383 nucleotides) under uncultured bacterium. RNAcentral's name for it is "bacterial SSU rRNA". It matches the Rfam family "Bacterial small subunit ribosomal RNA", at positions 28 to 412 of the family's 1533-position model. The record is from RNAcentral.
GACGAACGCUGGCGGCGUGCUUAACACAUGCAAGUCGAGCGGUAAGGCCCUUUCGGGGGUACACGAGCGGCGAACGGGUGAGUAACACGUGGGUGACCUGCCCUCAGCUCUGGGAUAAGCCUGGGAAACUGGGUCUAAUACCGGAUAUGACUCCAUGACGCAUGUUGUGGGGUGGAAAGCCUUGUGCGGCUGAGGAUGGGCCCGCGGCCUAUCAGCUUGUUGGUGGGGUGGNGGCCUACCAAGGCGACGACGGGUAGCCGGCCUGAGAGGGCGACCGGCCACACUGGGACUGAGACACGGCCCAGACUCCUACGGGAGGCAGCAGUGGGGAAUCUUGCGCAAUGGGCGAAAGCCUGACGCAGCGACGCCGCGUGAGGGAUGAC